AUGGUCAAUAGCCUAACGGCUGAACCAGCAACUUGGAGGAAUGUAUAGCAAUAGCUGAUUGCACCAUCAAAUGGUUGAUGCAAUAUUGACUCUGUCAAAUAAAAUUCUAGGUAGAAUUAUGAUAAUGACAUUGUCUGCCUAUAUGUCUUGACCAAAUUACGUGCCAGCAGUCGCGGUAAUACGUAGAAGACUAGUGUUAUUCAUCUUUAAUAGGUUUAAAGGGUACCUAGACGGUAAAUCAAGCCUUCGCAGGGACUAAUUUACUAGAGUUACUUACGAGGGGGUAUUAAAGUACUGCAGGUGUAGAGAUGAAAUUCUGUCAUACCUCUUUUCAAAAGAAAAAUUAUGGCACAGGUAUAGGUGAAAGCAUCCCCUUAUGUGAUAACUGACGUUGAAGGACGAAGGCUUUGUGUCGCGAACAGGAUUAGAUACCCCAGUAGUCAAAGCAGAAAAUGAUGAAUGUCAUAGAUUAGAUAUAUAGUUUAUUCUAUAAAUGAAAAUGUAAGCAUUCCACCUCAAGAGUAAUUUGGCAACAUUGGAACUGAAAUCAUUAGACCGUUUCUGAAACCAGUAGUGAAGUAUGUUGUUUAAUUUGAUGAUCCGCAAAAAACCUUACCACAAUUUGAAUAUUUGUAUCUAUCUUUUUUUUCGUAAAAAGGUAAUAUAUUUACAAGCGUUGCACGGCUGUCUUCAGUUAAUGUCGCGAGACUUUGGUUAGUUCCAUUUAAUUAACGUAAACCCUUACUUUAUUUUUAUAUGAAGUAGUUCCCCGCUAUAUUGGAUAUGAUAACAGGGACUAGGACAAGUCAUCAUGGCCUUAAUAUUGUGGGCUAUAGACGUGCCACAUAAACCUUACAAAAGGGUGUGAAAUUGCGAAAUUGAGC
RNAcentral lists this ribosomal RNA (884 nucleotides) under Lepraria borealis. Its description in RNAcentral is "SSU rRNA". It matches the Rfam family "Bacterial small subunit ribosomal RNA", at positions 359 to 1268 of the family's 1533-position model. The record is from RNAcentral. Lineage: Eukaryota; Fungi; Ascomycota; Lecanoromycetes; Lecanorales; Stereocaulaceae.